UACAGAGGUCCCAAGCGUUGUUCGGAUUUACUGGGCGUAAAGGGCGCGUAGGCGGCCUGCUAAGUCGGACGUGAAAUCCCUCGGCUCAACCGGGGAACUGCGUCCGAUACUGGUGGGCUCGAAUCCGGGAGAGGGAUGUGGAAUUCCAGGUGUAGCGGUGAAAUGCGUAGAGAUCCGGAGGAACACCAGUGGCGAAGGCGACACGCUGGGCCGUACCUGACACUGAUGCGCGACAGCAUGGGGAGCAAACAGG
Molecule: ribosomal RNA, 253 nt
Filed under: uncultured bacterium
Lineage: Bacteria
Description: partial 16S ribosomal RNA
Rfam family: Bacterial small subunit ribosomal RNA
Source: RNAcentral